GAAAUGCGAUAAGUAGUGUGAAUUGCAGAAUUCAGUGAAUCAUCGAAUCUUUGAACGCACAUUGCGCCCUAUGGUAUUCCGUAGGGCAUGCCUGUUCGAGUGUCAUUUACACCUUCAAGCCUUGCUUGGUGUUGGGUGACUGUGGCCCCUUUGGGGCCACUCGCCUUAAAGUCAUUGGCGGCCGGUUCGUUGGCUUUGUAGCGCAGCACAAUUGCGUCCUCGAAGCCGCUGGACCAGCUCCCAGAAGCUAAUUUUAAAUGUUUGACCUCGAAUCAGGUAGGGAUACCCGCUGAACUUAAGC
Molecule: unclassified non-coding RNA, 301 nt
Filed under: plant metagenome
Description: partial contains 5.8S ribosomal RNA, internal transcribed spacer 2, and large subunit ribosomal RNA
Rfam family: 5.8S ribosomal RNA (bases 1-105)
Source: RNAcentral